Molecule: ribosomal RNA, 257 nt
Filed under: uncultured Pseudomonas sp.
Lineage: Bacteria; Pseudomonadati; Pseudomonadota; Gammaproteobacteria; Pseudomonadales; Pseudomonadaceae
Description: partial 16S ribosomal RNA
Rfam family: Bacterial small subunit ribosomal RNA
Source: RNAcentral
CGGCGGACGGGUGAGUAAUGCCUAGGAAUCUGCCUGGUAGUGGGGGACAACGUUUCGAAAGGAACGCUAAUACCGCAUACGUCCUACGGGAGAAAGCAGGGGACCUUCGGGCCUUGCGCUAUCAGAUGAGCCUAGGUCGGAUUAGCUAGUUGGUGAGGUAAUGGCUCACCAAGGCGACGAUCCGUAACUGGUCUGAGAGGAUGAUCAGUCACACUGGAACUGAGACACGGUCCAGACUCCUACGGGAGGCAGCAGCG